This 546-nucleotide ribosomal RNA is filed under the name uncultured bacterium. Its description in RNAcentral is "bacterial SSU rRNA". It matches the Rfam family "Bacterial small subunit ribosomal RNA", at positions 355 to 896 of the family's 1533-position model. The record is from RNAcentral.
GUAAGAAUAUUCCGCAAUGGGGGGAACCCUGACGGAGCGACGCCGCGUGAACGAAGAAGGCCGGAAGGUUGUAAAGUUCUUUUCUGUCCGAGGAAUAAGUGUAGGAGGAAAUGCCUGCAUGGUGACGGUAGGGCAGGAAUAAGCACCGGCUAAUUACGUGCCAGCAGCCGCGGUAACACGUAAGGUGCGAGCGUUGUUCGGAAUUAUUGGGCGUAAAGGGCAUGCAGGCGGGUCGCCAAGCUUGGUAAGAAAUACCGGGGCUCAACUCCGGAGCUAUAUUGAGAACUGGCGAGCUGGAGUUGCCGAAGGGUAUCCGGAAUUCCGCGUGAAGGGGUGAAAUCUGUAGAUAUGCGGAAGAACACCGAUGGCGAAGGCAGGAUACCGGCGGACGACUGACGCUGAGGUGCGAAGGUGCGGGGAGCAAACAGGAUUAGAUACCCUGGUAGUCCGCACAGUCAACGAUGUACACUGGGCGUGUGCGCAAGAGCGUGCGUGCCGAAGCAAACGCGAUAAGUGUACCGCCUGGGGAGUAUGCCCGCAAGGGUG